RNAcentral lists this transfer RNA (70 nucleotides) under Variola louti (yellow-edged lyretail). RNAcentral's name for it is "tRNA-Tyr". It matches the Rfam family "tRNA". Rfam says of the family: Transfer RNA (tRNA) molecules are approximately 80 nucleotides in length. Their secondary structure includes four short double-helical elements and three loops (D, anti-codon, and T loops). Further hydrogen bonds mediate the characteristic L-shaped molecular structure. tRNAs have two regions of fundamental functional importance: the anti-codon, which is responsible for specific mRNA codon recognition, and the 3' end, to which the tRNAs corresponding amino acid is attached (by aminoacyl-tRNA synthetases). tRNAs cope with the degeneracy of the genetic code in two manners: having more than one tRNA (with a specific anti-codon) for a particular amino acid; and 'wobble' base-pairing, i.e. permitting non-standard base-pairing at the 3rd anti-codon position. The record is from RNAcentral. Lineage: Eukaryota; Metazoa; Chordata; Actinopteri; Perciformes; Serranidae.
GGUAGGAUGGCUGAGUACCAAGCGGUGGAUUGUAGACCCAUAGACAGAGGUUCAAAUCCUCUUCUUACCA